CCUACGGGAGGCAGCAGUGGGGAAUAUUGCACAAUGGGGGAAACCCUGAUGCAGCGACGCCGCGUGAGUGAAGCAGCAUUUCGGUAUGUAAAGCUCUAUCAGCAGGGCAGAAAAUGACGGUACCUGAUUAAGAAGCCCCGGCUAACUACGUGCCAGCAGCCGCGGUAAAACGUAGGGGGCGAGCGUUGUCCGGAAUGACUGGGCGUAAAGGGUGCGUAGGCGGCAUAAUAAGUUAGAAGUGAAAUACCCAGAGCUUAACUCGGGUGCUGCUUCUAAGACUGUUGAGCUUGAGUGCGGGAGAGGUUAAUGGAAUUCCUGGUGUAGCGGUGGAAUGCGUAGAUAUUAGGAGGAACACCAGAGGCGAAGGCGAUUAACUGGACCGUAACUGACGCUGAGGAACGAAAGUGUGGGUAGCAAACAGGAUUAGAUACCCCGGUAGUC
Molecule: ribosomal RNA, 441 nt
Filed under: uncultured bacterium
Lineage: Bacteria
Description: partial 16S ribosomal RNA
Rfam family: Bacterial small subunit ribosomal RNA
Source: RNAcentral